RNAcentral lists this long non-coding RNA (1436 nucleotides) under Setaria italica (foxtail millet). Its description in RNAcentral is "long non-coding RNA (SITA_LNC004298)". The stretch from base 11 to 129 matches the Rfam family "MIR2275 microRNA precursor family". The record is from RNAcentral. Lineage: Eukaryota; Viridiplantae; Streptophyta; Magnoliopsida; Poales; Poaceae.
CUAAUUUCAGGCACUGAAAGUGAGAGUUGGAUGAAAACAAACCAAUCGAUCACCAGAUUCUUCGCUGAAUCGAUGAGCAAACAUGAUCGCUGAUUGGCUUGUUUUCCUCCAAUAUCUCACCUUCAGUCGAUCGCCUGGUGACUACGCAUUACGAGAACAGAUAUGCUAGGGAGUUUGCCUAUGUGUGCCAUUUCAAGUGAGGAUUAGAGGGACCUGAACCCUCCAUUGCAAGACAGGAAGCAAGAAGGGUUCAGUUUCCUCUAAUAUCUCAUCUCAAAUGGUCCAUUUCUGGGGAUGGUUUUCAGUAUAUGGCAGAGAUGCGGUCACACAAUGUGAGAACUGGAGGCAAUCAAACUCAGAUCCACUCGGUCAGAUGGAUGGAUAGGCAUAACCUGUCUUUGUUGCCUAGUUUGUUUCCCUCCAAUAUCCUAUCUUGAUUGAAUUGCUUGAUAUUGAGUAGUUUUGCAAGAACCUUUUAUUCAAUACUCAUCAGACAUGCUGCCUUGCUCAAAACUUCCGCUGCGCUUCCUGGUAAAAAGAAUCGCUUCGGCCUGACCUACCCUUUCUGGGACAGAUAAUUUCACUGGAUUUAUUUCUAGAAAAGAUUUGUUUUGAGGACCCUAAGAGGAAUUCCCAUUGCUUCCAUUUCCUACUGUGUUUCCAGCCUAGAAGCAGAGAUUUGUUAAGUUAAGCUAAGUACCCAAAAUAAACUGACUCUGUCCCAUUCGAAAUGUGCUUCUAGGCGUCCUUUCCAGAUUUUGGGUACUUAGCUUAACAAGCAAACAAGCACGUAACUGCUGGGCUUGGUUGUCUUCAUCACAGGCUCAAGUGAAUUCGCAAACAAGCAAGGCUGCUGGGUUGGCUGGGCUAAGGGGUACGGUGCGGUACAUGUACAUUAUUGUGGCGAAACGACGCAUGUUUUCAUUCUACCCUUUUACAACUUCUGAGCAGGCAAAGCUCUAUUCAGAAAUCCAACCAGUGGAUCUUCUCCAUCGAUGUUUUGAGCUCACUCAUCCAUCCUUUCUCCGCCCCCUCCCUCUCUCCAAGCUGGUUUCCUCUUGGAUCUAAUCCCCUCCCUUCUCCCUUUUGAAUGCACUCAAGCAAGGAUACGGGUGCAUGGAGCUCGUAUAGAUGAUGCCCCUUGCAUGAGGAAACUGGAGCCCACUCGAUUUGAUGCCAUUAGGGCCGAAGGUUGCUGGAUUUUGUGACCAUCGAUGACUAUUUCCUCUCGGUGAUGCCCUUGAGUUAAGAGGUUAGAGAUUAUUCUUGGAUCCCCACCGCGGUCGGAGUUUGUUGGAUUGAAGGAUUGAGGCCCUGAGGAGGUUGUGUUGUGGCCAUUGAUCCUCUUAAUUAUAUAUGAUAUCAACUCGGUUAGGGUGUUCCACGUAUUUCUGUUUGUUGUUGCAACCGCUCUCUCUCCAUUUGUUGCAAUCUUC